GAACCCUAGCGAUGUCGCCUCUCUUCUUUUGGCUAGGGUUUUCUGCCUCUUUUAGACUUUCGCCGCCAAGGCUAGGGUUUCGGUGGUUUUGGCCUCGGAUGCAGUGAGCCUCUGGUUUUCCUCCUGUACCGUGAGCUGAAAUAUCCAGCCAAGGGGAGGAGCUGGUUCCAUUGCCAAGAUCUGCGAUUUGAAAUGAAGGUAAUUGCCCCGAUUGAGGUUGAUUGUCAGCCAUGACGGUAUGGAGAUCUCCCUCUCUUCCUUUUUCCUUCGUCUGUUUCAAUGUGAUUUCCUCAAGGUGCUGAUUCUUGCGCCAGAGUGCUAAUGCGUUUUGCAGGUUAGCUAGAUUUUUUCGGUAGAAGAUCAGAAGACCAGAAGAGGAUGAUCGAGGCGGAAGACGUGAGUUAAAGGUGCGUAACCCGCUCUGAUACCAUGAAAGAAGAUGAAGAAGACGAGAGGAAGGAAAGCGAGAGGGGAAAAUUUUCUUUGUAUUUCGGUAUAUUCAUGUAAUGUAUAGAGCAUGUCUAUUAUAAUACAUGUUGUAUGUAAAUAAAAGGAAACAAUAUUAUAUACAAAAUCAGAUUCGAUAUUAA
This is a long non-coding RNA of Eucalyptus grandis, 590 nucleotides long. RefSeq lists it as uncharacterized. The record is from RefSeq and is a predicted model, not a curated record. NCBI's taxonomy places the organism in Eukaryota, Viridiplantae, Streptophyta, Magnoliopsida, Myrtales, Myrtaceae. The transcript is spliced from 2 exons.